RNAcentral lists this ribosomal RNA (502 nucleotides) under uncultured bacterium. Its description in RNAcentral is "bacterial SSU rRNA". It matches the Rfam family "Bacterial small subunit ribosomal RNA", at positions 903 to 1397 of the family's 1533-position model. The record is from RNAcentral.
AAAGGAAUUGACGGGGGCUCACACAAGCGGUGGAGCAUGUGGAUCAAUUCGAAGCAACGCGAAGAACCUUACCUGGGUUUGACAUGCACGGAUGCUCUCUUGGAAACAGGAGUAGGCUGCCUUCGGGUGAAACGUGCACAGGUGCUGCAUGGCUGUCGUCAGCUCGUGCUGUGAAGUGUCGGGUUAAGUCCCUUAACGAGCGAAACCCCUGUCGCUAGUUGCCAGCGGGUCAUGCCGGGAACUCUAGCGAGACUGCCGGCGUUAAGCCGGAGGAAGGUGGGGAUGACGUCAAGUCAUCAUGGCCUUUAUGCCCAGGGUGUCACACGUGCUACAAUGGGGUGUACAGAGCGACGCAAGACCGCGAGGUGGAGCAAAUCGCAGAAAACAUCCCUCAGUUCGGAUUGAGGUCUGCAACCCGACCUCAUGAAGCCGGAAUCGCUAGUAAUCGCGCAUCAGCCAUGGCGCGGUGAAUGAGUUCCUGAGCCUUGUACACACCGCCCGU